RNAcentral lists this ribosomal RNA (467 nucleotides) under uncultured bacterium. Its description in RNAcentral is "partial 16S ribosomal RNA". It matches the Rfam family "Bacterial small subunit ribosomal RNA", at positions 28 to 507 of the family's 1533-position model. The record is from RNAcentral.
GACGAACGCUGGCGGCGUGCUUAACACAUGCCAGUCGAACGGAAAGGCCCUGCUUUUGUGGGGUGCUCGAGUGGCGAACGGGUGAGUAACACGUGAGUAACCUGCCCUUGACUUUGGGAUAACUUCAGGAAACUGGGGCUAAUACCGGAUAGGAGCUCCUGCUGCAUGGUGGGGGUUGGAAAGUUUCGGCGGUUGGGGAUGGACUCGCGGCUUAUCAGCUUGUUGGUGGGGUAGUGGCUUACCAAGGCUUUGACGGGUAGCCGGCCUGAGAGGGUGACCGGCCACAUUGGGACUGAGAUACGGCCCAGACUCCUACGGGAGGCAGCAGUGGGGAAUAUUGCACAAUGGGCGGAAGCCUGAUGCAGCAACGCCGCGUGCGGGAUGACGGCCUUCGGGUUGUAAACCGCUUUCGCCUGUGACGAAGCGUGAGUGACGGUAAUGGGGAAAGAAGCACCGGCGAACACGUG